GGCAGAAGAAAAUCAACGAGUGGCUGGGGAUUAAAAAUGAGACUGAGGAGUGAGUGACCGCCUGGAGGGAGGCAGGGAGGGCUUCCCAGAGGAGGGGGCCAUUUGGGGUGGGUUUUGAAGAAUGAGCAGGAGUUCACCAGGCAGGAAGAGUUGUCCAGGCAGCUGGGGAGCCUCGGAGGGCUGGCAGGUGAGUGACCAGGGCCCUCCCCGCCAUCCCCCGCCGCCCCCCACCACCCCAGCCAGUACGCACUGAUGGAGGACGAGGACGAUCUCCCGCACCACGAGGAACGCACUUGGUACGUGGGCAAGAUCAACCGCACGCAGGCAGAGGAGAUGCUGAGCGGCAAGCGGGAUGGCACCUUCCUCAUCCGCGAGAGCAGCCAGCGGGGCUGCUACGCCUGCUCCGUGGUAGUGGACGGCGACACCAAGCACUGCGUCAUCUACCGCACGGCCACCGGCUUCGGCUUCGCGGAGCC
Molecule: small RNA, 476 nt
Filed under: Pongo abelii (Sumatran orangutan)
Lineage: Eukaryota; Metazoa; Chordata; Mammalia; Primates; Hominidae
Description: retained intron
Source: RNAcentral